GGUCUCCUGCAUUGCAGGCGGAUUUGUUACCAUCUGAGCCACCAGAGAAGCCCCUUGUUUGCUUAGAAAUUUUCCUUCGAGAAGCCCAGAGAGCUUUAAUGGAUCUUACUGAAUGGGUCUUACCCGCCUUAUAGGUCCCGAUGCAGCAAAGAUACCUAGAGUGAACAAGAAACAAUACUGUUGACAUCUCCAGAAGUAUCAUCUAAAGUAAUCAGAUCUUCAGUGGAAAACAACACACCUAUAAGUGUUCUGCCAUGGGCUGGCUUCACUGAGUUCUGCCUCUAGGCAAGGAGAGUCCUGAGAUUCAGAUGCGGGUAGCGGAAUGUUGAGAUGGUUCUGACCCAAACCUCUGGAGCCAGGAAUCCAAAUGUCAGUGUCUGCGGCAGUGGAGAGGCAAAUACUUGCCCAUCUUGGCUGUCUGAUGUAGACAAGAAUGAA
Molecule: long non-coding RNA, 438 nt
Organism: Bos taurus (domestic cattle)
Lineage: Eukaryota; Metazoa; Chordata; Mammalia; Artiodactyla; Bovidae
Source: Ensembl